GCUUUCUACGCAACCUGUCGUCGUUGUAUAUCUUCUAGGCAAUAUGGGUCGUCUAAGUCGGACUAUCUACGUUGGAAAUCUUCCUGGUGAUAUUCGGGAGAGAGAAGUAGAAGAUUUGUUUUACAAGUAUGGUCCCAUUGUGGAAAUUGAUUUGAAAGUUCCACCUAGACCACCUGGUUAUGCGUUCGUAGAGUUUGAAGAUCCUCGUGAUGCUGAUGAUGCCAUUCGUGGGCGUGAUGGCUAUGACUUUGACGGGCAUCGCUUGCGAGUUGAACUUGCACAUGGUGGGCGAGGAUCAUCAUCAUAUGAUCGCCACAGUAGUUACAGUAGUGCGAGUCGCAGUGGACUUUCUAGGCGCUCUGACUAUCGCGUACUGGUCUCUGGACUACCGUCUUCUGCCUCAUGGCAAGACUUGAAGGAUCAUAUGCGACGAGCUGGAGAUGUCUGCUUCUCUCAAGUUUUCCGAGAUCGUGACGGUAUGAGAGGGAUUGUGGACUAUACCAACUAUGAUGAUAUGAGAUACGCGAUAAAGAAACUUGAUGACUCUCUGUUUCGCAAUCAAUUCUCUCGAGCAUAUAUUAGGGUGGACAAGUAUGAUAAGAGGCAUAGCUAUUCCAGGAGUCCAAGUCCAUACAAUUCUAGAAGCAGAAGUUACUCAAGAAGUAGGAGUCCUCGACGAAGCUACAGCAGCCAGAGCGGAAGUGUAUCUCCUAGGGGUAAAUACUCUCGUCGCUCUGUGUCUAUCUCACCCUCAAGGGCUUUUUCCCCUGCGCUCUCUCUUUCAAGGUACUUUUUCGUUUCACAUCAAGGUUUUUAUUUAUUUUUUAUGCUUCCGAAAUUAUCAUGUACUCAUUUAUGUUUUGAAGAUGGGUUUUUAAACAUUCCUAUUUCGUGUUUUGAUUGCAUAUGGGUAUGCCCAAUUUGAAUUCUUUCUGAAAGUCUGCCAGAUGCAGUCUGGUUGCUAGUGUUCUUCUUAGGAUCCUUGUUUCCCUUCAAUCGAGAAUUAUCCCCUCCUUGGUGGUGUUUUUAUGCUUGCUUAAUAGAAAUUUUGCAUGAGGACUACUAGCACAGGUUGACUGGGAAAAUCUAUCGUUUGCAUCUUAUCUUCGUGGUUUUGACUCGUUAAAGAAUUGACACCUCCUUUGGAGAAAGGACUACUCACAGUUUUCUACACAGUGGCUUGUUUUCUACAUUUCCUGUGAUGAUGUAUGGUUAGCUGAUCAAUCACUCCUUUUUUGAUGUUUCAUUUUCAGUGAUAUGCAGAGUCGAGAGACUCGUGGUAGUAUCACAAGUAUGUGUGGAGAAGUACAUCUAGUGUCUCUCUUUAUCUUUUGUGAGCUAUAGAAUGAUAUCAUAAUUUCUGGAAGUUUGUAGGAAUAGCAAUGACCAAAUAAUUAUAUAUACUUGGAGAGGGAUAUGAAUUCGACACUUAUCGUGCGGUUGAUAGAUGAGGAAUUGGAAAUUUGGUGCUAUUAGAAUGACGAAUGAGAGAACCUUAUAUUUUAUAGACUGGUCUGUUAUGUGGGAAGUUUUACUGGCACCAAGUUAUCAGAGUCAACCCGAGUCCUUACUGGAUGAGAACUUAUACAAGGAGCUGUCCCUCUUUAAGAAUGAGACUACAAGAUGAUCUACCUCUCGUUUUUUGCUUGAGUUUGAUGGAUUUGUACCGUCCAUUUUCUGUAGUUCUAUGCCUCAACUUCUAUUUAUCUAGAAGAAUCUGAAAUCUGAGUAGUUUUACUGUUGCCUAGUACGUCUUACGGAUUUAAAUAUCUUUUGCAGACUCGUCAUACUUUUUAUUCUUUCCUCGAUGUUGUUAGAGGCACUUGAGGUUUGAAGUAAGGUUCAAUGCAGAUGGUGUAUGUUGCUAGAUUCUGUGUCUCAAGUCUUAACCAAAACCUGCUAAUUAAAUGCUUUGGUAUAUAGCCUGUAAAGUGAUAUUAAAGAAGCGUCAUGAAAGAGUUUGAAAUCGACUAGGAAUAGGAAAUGACAAACUUCGUGUAGGAAGCUAGUCACUCAAGCUGAGCUAGAUGUCUAUAAUUGCAUAUUUUGCAUCUAAAUAGUUUUUUUCAAG
This 2071-nucleotide unclassified non-coding RNA is filed under the name Hevea brasiliensis (rubber tree). The record is from RNAcentral. Lineage: Eukaryota; Viridiplantae; Streptophyta; Magnoliopsida; Malpighiales; Euphorbiaceae.